RNAcentral lists this ribosomal RNA (496 nucleotides) under uncultured bacterium. Its description in RNAcentral is "partial 16S ribosomal RNA". It matches the Rfam family "Bacterial small subunit ribosomal RNA", at positions 28 to 506 of the family's 1533-position model. The record is from RNAcentral.
GAUGAACGCUGGCGGCGUGCCUAAUACAUGCAAGUCGAGCGAACAGACGAGGAGCUUGCUCCUCUGACGUUAGCGGCGGACGGGUGAGUAACACGUGGAUAACCUACCUAUAAGACUGGGAUAACUUCGGGAAACCGGAGCUAAUACCGGAUAAUAUAUUGAACCGCAUGGUUCAAUAGUGAAAGACGGUUUUGCUGUCACUUAUAGAUGGAUCCGCGCCGCAUUAGCUAGUUGGUAAGGUAACGGCUUACCAAGGCAACGAUGCGUAGCCGACCUGAGAGGGUGAUCGGCCACACUGGAACUGAGACACGGUCCAGACUCCUACGGGAGGCAGCAGUAGGGAAUCUUCCGCAAUGGGCGAAAGCCUGACGGAGCAACGCCGCGUGAGUGAUGAAGGUCUUCGGAUCGUAAAACUCUGUUAUUAGGGAAGAACAUAUGUGUAAGUAACUGUGCACAUCUUGACGGUACCUAAGCAGAAAGCCACGGCUAACUACGU